AAGGUUAUAGCUCAGUGGUAGAGGACAUGCCUAGCAUGCAUGAGGUCCUGGGUUCAAUCCCCAAUACCUCCA
Transfer RNA from Camelus ferus (Wild Bactrian camel), 72 nucleotides. It matches the Rfam family "tRNA". Rfam says of the family: Transfer RNA (tRNA) molecules are approximately 80 nucleotides in length. Their secondary structure includes four short double-helical elements and three loops (D, anti-codon, and T loops). Further hydrogen bonds mediate the characteristic L-shaped molecular structure. tRNAs have two regions of fundamental functional importance: the anti-codon, which is responsible for specific mRNA codon recognition, and the 3' end, to which the tRNAs corresponding amino acid is attached (by aminoacyl-tRNA synthetases). tRNAs cope with the degeneracy of the genetic code in two manners: having more than one tRNA (with a specific anti-codon) for a particular amino acid; and 'wobble' base-pairing, i.e. permitting non-standard base-pairing at the 3rd anti-codon position. Lineage: Eukaryota; Metazoa; Chordata; Mammalia; Artiodactyla; Camelidae. The record is from Rfam.